Molecule: long non-coding RNA, 445 nt
Organism: Sinocyclocheilus rhinocerous
Lineage: Eukaryota; Metazoa; Chordata; Actinopteri; Cypriniformes; Cyprinidae
Exons: 3
Source: RefSeq, a predicted model, not a curated record
ACCAUAUAAGACGCAGUUGUCAGAGACUACAAAUCCCAUGAGUCAAUCUGUCAUCAACAGGAAUGACGUCAUGAAUACCGCUGGUUUUUUUGUCAAUCAAAUUAAUGAAUGAAAAAUCAUUGGUGACCCGAGGAUCUGUUGAUUUUGAGUGAUGCUUGAGAUGGAUUCUACGACAUUUACAAUCAGAGGAUAUGCAGAGAUGGCAGGCAGUGCAAGAGUCCUGCAGCAGAAGACGCCACAGAUGGCCAUCAGGAGGAGCGUCUGGCAGCUGCUCAGUGAAAUCAUGGCUUUCUGCAGACAUUUAAACCAGACUCUCAGUGUCUGUCCUGCGUCACACGGUCCCGUAGGAUACACCCAAUGGUGAUCUGGUGGUCAAACUCAAAUUGGGUUUCUCGGAAAGACUGAAAAUGACACCGACUCAUUUUUCUGUAUAAUACUUAAACGA